UACGAACCGUGCGAACGUUGUUCGGAAUCACUGGGCUUAAAGGGCGCGUAGGCGGGCGGCCAAGUCCGGGGUGAAAGCCCCCAGCUCAACUGGGGAAGUGCCUUGGAAACUGGUCGUCUUGAGGGAGGUAGGGGCAUGUGGAACUUCGGGUGGAGCGGUGAAAUGCGUUGAUAUCCGAAGGAACGCCGGUGGCGAAGGCGACGUGCUGGAUCUCUUCUGACGCUGAGGCGCGAAAGCCAGGGUAGCGAACGGG
RNAcentral lists this ribosomal RNA (253 nucleotides) under uncultured bacterium. RNAcentral describes it as "partial 16S ribosomal RNA". It matches the Rfam family "Bacterial small subunit ribosomal RNA", at positions 524 to 776 of the family's 1533-position model. The record is from RNAcentral.